Long non-coding RNA from Musa acuminata AAA Group (dessert banana), 1524 nucleotides. RefSeq lists it as uncharacterized. Lineage: Eukaryota; Viridiplantae; Streptophyta; Magnoliopsida; Zingiberales; Musaceae. The transcript has 3 exons. The record is from RefSeq and is a predicted model, not a curated record.
CACCGCUCUCUCAAGACCGUGUGCCGACCUACCUUUGUCGCUUCCUUGCCCUCGAAAACCCCUCCUCUCUCGCCCUUCCUCUCCAGUAGCGAACGAUCUGUCUGAAGCCCUGAUUUCGCUCCUCUCUUCGCCCAAGAUUGAAUCUAGAAACGAAAUGCUAGAUUACCAUCUUCUCCGUUUCUCCCUGUCAAUUGCAGCUUUGUGGCUUCUUCCGAUGGCCGGAGUUGAGCGAGCGGUCGUAGUGUGAGCUGCGGCCUGGACCCGGUGAGGGCUCAUCCCUUCUGUGACUCCUGAAGAAAGAGAGGAUCGUUUUUAAGUUCAGAACUUCAUGAGGCCAAGAGGCACUACUCGUCGAUUAUGCAGUGAGGUCGGCCCAAAAGGAUUGGAAGUGAUGUGUUUAAAGAAAUAUCUUACUGCAGAAGCGAUGUUUGCAGGAAGACCCUAAUCACUUGUUUUGUCUUCUUACUUUUUUUGUCUGCAGUAUUAGUUGCAGAAAAGUGUAUGGUGAGCGAUGUCUUCUGCAAUUAGCUCAUUAAGCACUUGUUUUGUUCAGUCUCUACUUGUUCUUCAUUAAUCUGCUGUCCUACCUUAAUUUUCUUUUGUGGAUAGACACAUUAUGCUUGAACUCGUAAGUUCAAUUUAUAGUCACUUGUUUUCCCUGCCAUCUGUAUGAAAACUGAAGAUAUACCGUCUAAAGUUAUUAAUAGAGAUGUGGAAUUGAUGCUUUGCCUUCUAGAUGUGGCUCUUGUUUCUGUUGAUUUUUCAAGCAUUUUUCUGCUAUAUGCUCCUGCAUUUAAGUUGAAAGCUUAAGGUACAUGUUAUUGACAAUCACUGUUGUUUGGAACACGUAUUUAGGUCUAUAGGCUUGUAUACUCAUAUAUGCUUUACAAUUCGUUUAUUACAUGCAGAAUUAUUGGUUUUCAGUCCACUUGGUUUUGUGAGUGGACUCUCAUAUGACGGAAGGAUCCUUGAAUAUCACAUGAAUUCAAAUUCAUUUGCUAAGGUCAGAAACGGGAAGGAGAUUCCAUUUAGAACAAGUUUCAAGAGUUCAAUGUUGUGGAUGUUCUAGACUUGACGCCUAACUUGCAGAUCAUUUGUCUUCCAACUAAGGUACUUUAUGCCCACUUUGGGAUCAAUACUUUAUUAUGAAUAACCAGAUGAAACUGUCUACAAUGGAUCUCUUUCCUCAUUGUAAAUUAAACACUGAAGAAUAUAUCACAAGCUAUGAAGAUUCUCAAUGCACUGAAGAAUCUUUCCGCUUUUCUUUAUUCUGGUGAUGAUGAUUCUUAUUGUCUAUCAAAGCAAUUUAUUUAUCUGCUUUUAGUGGAGUUGAAUCCUCUUUCAAUCUCUAGAAGCAAGAAAGUAGCUAUACUUAUGAACUUACAUGAGAAACUUUAUUUGGAAAGGAUCUUGUUAGCUAUGUUCCUCCUCUUAAAAGGGUUCACUAGAAACCUACAUAAUUGAUUUAGCCAUAUAUGAAACCAGCAGUAUAAUGCCUGUAGAUAUAAGGAGUUUGUUUGAAAA